GACGAACGCUGGCGGCGUGCUUAACACAUGCAAGUCGUGCGGUAAGGCCCUUUCGGGGGUACACGAGCGGCGCACGGGUGAGUAACACGUGAGCAACCUGCCCUUCACUUUGGGAUAACUGCCGGAAACGGUGGCUAAUACCGGAUAUGACUUCCUCACGCAUGUGGGGUGGUGGAAAGCCUUCGGGUGGUGGGGGCUGGGCUCGCGGUCUAUCAGCUUGUUGGUGGGGUGAUGGCCUACCAAGGCUUCGACGGGUAGCCGGCCUGAGAGGGUGACCGGCCUCACUGGGACUGAGAUACGGCCCAGACUCCUAUGGGAGGCAGCAGUGGGGAAGAUUGGACAAUGGGCGAAAGCCUGCUCCAGCAACGCCGCGUGAGGGAUAACGGCCUUCGGGUUGUAAACCUCUUUCGCCUGCGACGAAGCGAGAGUGACAGUAGCAUGUAAAGAAGCUCCGGCCAACUACGUG
Molecule: ribosomal RNA, 466 nt
Filed under: uncultured bacterium
Lineage: Bacteria
Description: partial 16S ribosomal RNA
Rfam family: Bacterial small subunit ribosomal RNA
Source: RNAcentral